UGAGCAACCUGCCCCUGGCUCUGGGAUAACUCCGGGAAACCGGAGCUAAUACCGGAUACGAGACCGAUUGGCAUCUUUACGGUCUGGAAAGUUUUUCGGCCAGGGAUGGGCUCGCGGCCUAUCAGCUUGUUGGUGGGGUAACGGCCCACCAAGGCGACGACGGGUAGCCGGCCUGAGAGGGUGACCGGCCACACUGGGACUGAGACACGGCCCAGACUCCUACGGGAGGCA
This 231-nucleotide ribosomal RNA is filed under the name uncultured bacterium. RNAcentral describes it as "partial 16S ribosomal RNA". It matches the Rfam family "Bacterial small subunit ribosomal RNA", at positions 118 to 350 of the family's 1533-position model. The record is from RNAcentral.